Molecule: RNA transcript, 878 nt
Organism: Mus musculus (house mouse)
Lineage: Eukaryota; Metazoa; Chordata; Mammalia; Rodentia; Muridae
Gene: Flywch2
Gene name: FLYWCH family member 2
Exons: 4
Source: RefSeq, marked validated
CCCUCAUCCUGCGCAUGCUCGCCCCGUGACCCUAGCUUGAGGUGACGGCGGGAGCCAAGGCGGGGGCCCAAAGCACUGAGGCUGAGGGACCCGCCACGGCUCCGUCGUCCGAGAGGCAGGGCCUGCUGCCGUCGGACAGAGCCUCUGGACUCCCAGGUUCCUGGCCAGGGAGGAGGAGGAAAAGGUGAGACCUAUCUGCCAGGGCUGGGCGUGGCCUGAGGGCCAGGCUGUUGGUCCUGGGAUGCCUCAGCCCAAACCCAGUGAGCAGGAGGGUGAGAGCAUGAAGGCCAGCCAGGAACCAGCUCCCCAGCCUGGCACAGAUGUGGUCCCAGCAGCCCCCAGGAAGCCCAGAAAGUUCUCCAAACUGGUUCUGCUGACAGCCUCCAAAGACAGCGCCAAAGUGGCUGGGGCCAAGCGCAAAGGAGUGCACUGCAUCAUGUCCCUGGGGGUGCCAGGCCCAGCCACCUUGGCUAAGGCCCUCCUCAAGACUCAUCCUGAGGCUCAGCGGGCCAUUGAAGCGACUCCCCUGGAGCCCGAGCAGAAGCGCAGCAAGCAGAACCUGGGGGCUAAACUCUCAGGCAAGCCAAGAUGGAGUGCCCAUUGCUACAAGCCUGGAGUUCUUUGGGGACCAUAAGGACCCUCAGCCUCCUACCCACAACAUAAGCAGUAUGGAGGAGUCCAGAAAGACCUUGAUUCAGAUGGUCCAGAAGACAAUGGAGGGUCAGGGGUGUCUUCUUCAAGUUCAGAGGAGACCACUGUGCUCCCUGAGGCCCCCAGCACUUCCCCAUAACCUUGGCAACUGCUGUUGCAUAAGCUACUUUUAUAAGUAAGAAACAAAGAGAGAAAAUAAAAGAAGCUGUGUGCUAUUUCCCACCAUG